Long non-coding RNA from Podarcis raffonei (Aeolian wall lizard), 519 nucleotides. RefSeq lists it as uncharacterized. The transcript has 3 exons. Lineage: Eukaryota; Metazoa; Chordata; Lepidosauria; Squamata; Lacertidae. The record is from RefSeq and is a predicted model, not a curated record.
AGAUUGUCUUUGCUGAGGGAGAUUUUUCAUCUCCUCGACAAUGAGUGUGACACUGCGGAACUUGUGGCUUCCAAGGCCCUAAGAAAUGGAGCAUCCAGAAAUCAGUUUGGGGACCCAAAUUGUAAGUAAGACUGGGAGCCCAUCCAUAGAAGGGACAGUUGGAUGCAGAAGCAAUGCCAUCUAGGUUGAUGGCCAUCACCGGCUCCUGAGGGAAGUCCAUCUGAAGGUGGGGUGUUAGCAGGAGCAAUGAUUCAGUAAAAUAUCAGAGAAGUGGAGGGCAGGAGGUGCUGAAGAAGUUCUCACGGAUGCCGCUGCCAAGUUGCCAAGUUCCCCGCCACCACCCAUCCUACCUGCCUUGACUCAACAGAACCUGUGGGAGCGGCUGCAAAGGAAACACAAGGUGCACACAUGUGCCUUCUGCCAAGGUCAACCAUCUGGCUCUUGGAGCCAGCACCAAAUACGGGGAAAGGCUGCUGCUGUUUUGGUUUCUCACAUCACACACCCCUCCAUUUUUCUCUC